AAGAAGACCUCAUCAAGAGAGCAAGAUGAUUUUGAAAUUGUGUAUUUCAAGGAUAACGUUGAAAUUCAUCCUAUACAAUUUGAUACAGAAAGGAUAAAUGGGCGUUUAAAGUUAAGCAAACAAGGAUCUCUGUUAUUCUUGGCAUGGAUCCCAUACAAGUGGCUAACCACAAAUCAAAGGUUGAACGAAAAUGAUAGGAUUCUUUACACCAUUCGUGAAGUUGCUUUCACAGAUAUCCGGUCAGUUCGUGGACACACUCCGACAUUUAGAUGGCAAUACGUGAG
Impatiens glandulifera is the source of this 284-nucleotide long non-coding RNA. RefSeq lists it as uncharacterized. The transcript has 3 exons. The record is from RefSeq and is a predicted model, not a curated record. Lineage: Eukaryota; Viridiplantae; Streptophyta; Magnoliopsida; Ericales; Balsaminaceae.